UACGGGGGGAGCAAGCGUUGUUCGGAAUUACUGGGCGUAAAGGGCGCGUAGGCGGUUCGUCAAGUCCUGUGUGAAAUCCCCCGGCUCAACUGGGGAACUGCACAGGAAACUAGCGGGCUUGAGUUCGGGAGAGGGAAGCGGAAUUCCGGGUGUAGCGGUGAAAUGCGUAGAUAUCCGGAGGAACACCGGUGGCGAAGGCGGCUUCCUGGACCGACACUGACGCUGAGGCGCGAAAGCUAGGGGAGCAAACGGG
This 253-nucleotide ribosomal RNA is filed under the name uncultured bacterium. RNAcentral describes it as "partial 16S ribosomal RNA". It matches the Rfam family "Bacterial small subunit ribosomal RNA", at positions 524 to 776 of the family's 1533-position model. The record is from RNAcentral.